CCUACGUGAGGCAGCCGUGGGGAAUAUUGCACAAUGGGGGAAACUCUGACGCAGCGACGCCGCGUGAGUGAAGAAGUAUUUCGGAAUGUAAAGCUCUAUCAGCAGGGAAGAAAAUGACGUUACCUGACUAAGAAGCCCCGGCUAACUACGUGCCAGCAGCCGCGGUAAUACGUAGGGGGCAAGCGUUAUCCGGAUUUACUGGGUGUAAAGGGAGCGUAGACGGCUGCGCAAGUCUGAAGUGAAAUCCCAUGGCUUAACCAGGGAACUGCUUGGGAAACUGGUCAGCUGGAGUGCAGGAGAGGUAAGCGGAAUGCCUAGUGUAGCGGUGAAAUGCGUAGAUAUUAGGAGGAACACCAGUGGCGAAGGCGGCUUACUGGACUGUAACUGACGUUGAGGCUCGAAAGCGUGGGGAGCAAACAGGAUUAGAUACCCCAGUAGUC
RNAcentral lists this ribosomal RNA (440 nucleotides) under uncultured bacterium. Its description in RNAcentral is "partial 16S ribosomal RNA". It matches the Rfam family "Bacterial small subunit ribosomal RNA", at positions 338 to 795 of the family's 1533-position model. The record is from RNAcentral.